UACGGAGGAUCCGAGCGUUAUCCGGAUUUAUUGGGUUUAAAGGGUGCGUAGGCGGUUUGAUAAGUUAGAGGUGGAAUGUCGGGGCUCAACCCCGAAACUGCCUCUAAUACUGUUGGACUAGAGAAUAGUUGCGGUAGGCGGAAUGUAUGGUGUAGCGGUGAAAUGCUUAGAGAUCAUACAGAACACCGAUUGCGAAGGCAGCUUACCAAACUAUAUCUGACGUUGAGGCACGAAAGCGUGGGUAGCAAACAGG
RNAcentral lists this ribosomal RNA (253 nucleotides) under uncultured bacterium. RNAcentral's name for it is "partial 16S ribosomal RNA". It matches the Rfam family "Bacterial small subunit ribosomal RNA", at positions 524 to 776 of the family's 1533-position model. The record is from RNAcentral.